GGUAGCGUGGCCGAGCGGUCUAAGGUGCUGGAUUAAGGCACCAGUCUCUUCGGGGUGUGGGUUCGAAUCCCACCGCUGCCA
Danio rerio (zebrafish) is the source of this 81-nucleotide non-coding RNA. The record is from Rfam. Lineage: Eukaryota; Metazoa; Chordata; Actinopteri; Cypriniformes; Danionidae.